This 1442-nucleotide long non-coding RNA is filed under the name Sorghum bicolor (sorghum). RNAcentral's name for it is "long non-coding RNA (SBIC_LNC002777)". The record is from RNAcentral. Lineage: Eukaryota; Viridiplantae; Streptophyta; Magnoliopsida; Poales; Poaceae.
UGCCAAAUUUUUAAAAUUUGAGUUUUCUCUCUAGUUUAGCCAUAACUGUUAUAAUUUAAAGCUUGCUCUAAACCUAAACUUCUGGGAAGAAAACUUGAUCUGAAAGUCUAAGUUGUUAACGGAUAUGAUAUGGGAAGGUUGAGCUGCUAUUUAUCUGUUCCUAGAGAUGCUAGAAUUCUGGAGAAUUUUAUCUUUGAAAAUCUUUAAAAUAUUGCAUGAUGAGUUCUUGUAUGAUGAGAGUUUAAAUUCCUACCACAGCCAUAUAUACAUGCUUGCUAGACUUUGAGCCACAUAUUUACUUUUUACUACUUAUGAGCGUUGAGUGUGGUCAAGCUGUGUAGACCCUUAGGAGCUUGUCAUGUGGUUAAAUCAAGAUUCACUUGCACGUUCACUCACAUAUGCUGCUUCUACUCUGGAAGUACCAUCCACAUAUAUCCACCCAUUUCCAUCUCCAGAACCACCCAAAAACAUUCUACUCCUAAACCGGGAGAGAAUGGCCAAAAACAUUUCUGUUUUCCCUGUGAAAUAAAUGCUCAACUUAUCUUGGUUACUACCACUUGCUAUAUUAUUAUCUCAUGAGAUGAGUGCUCUCUAAAAAAAGAGAGAGAAAGAUAAUACAAGGAAAUAAAAAGGGGCAAGUGCGUGGUACCUCGAAAGAAAAGAAAAGAAAAGAAAAAGUAAGACGAGAGGUAAAAAUGGACAAGUGUCCGACAGUAGAAUUAGGGGUACAAGAUACCCACCUGAGAGAAAAGGAAAAGAAGAGCAUCUCAUUCUCCUCAUAAAGUUUCAAAAGAGCAAGAAAGGUAUGUAUCCCCUCAAAAGAGCAAAAGUAGAAUUAGAUUGUCACCAUUGUUAUCACCAUCAUCACUAUACACCAUUCAUUCGCCACACAUGCACAUCUUCAUUUGACUUAUUGAUUUGUUUCUUUGGAUCCAUGGUUUGACUAUACAAUAAAUGUCUUGUGAGUUUGUAUACUUUAUCUCCCACCUAUGAGCUCCAGAUAUCAAAAGCCUUAUUAGAGUAGGGUGAGAGAGAAGGCAAUGUCACUAUGCCUUAUACCACAAAUACCACAUACUUUUUGAGAGAAGGCAUAUACCAUCACUGCCUUGGUGAGGAUCUAGAAAUACCACAAAAGAGAGAUCUGAGAGAGUCAUACAAGGAAUCUCUAAGUUUUAUUUAAAAAUCUGCAAAAACUCCAGAGCUAUAGCUAAUCAAGAAUAAGAGACAUGGCACUUGACUAGACUGUUCUAUCUUUUAACUACUCAAGACAGAAGAGACGGUUACAAGUCCCAUGGUGAAAGGUAAAGUAAGUAAGUUUUAAGUCUUGACAGUUUACUCUAACUCAGAGAUGAGAUCUUAUUUAAAAGCAUGUGUACCGUCAACUUCUAAAGGCAUUACAACAACUUCUAAUCUAUCGCUGAGAGUAUCCUUGCUCAAGGACG